This 87-nucleotide transfer RNA is filed under the name Rhizobacter sp. RNAcentral describes it as "tRNA-Leu". It matches the Rfam family "tRNA". From Rfam's summary of the family: Transfer RNA (tRNA) molecules are approximately 80 nucleotides in length. Lineage: Bacteria; Pseudomonadati; Pseudomonadota; Betaproteobacteria; Burkholderiales; Sphaerotilaceae. The record is from RNAcentral.
GCCGGAGUGGCGAAAUCGGUAGACGCAGGGGACUCAAAAUCCCCCGGUGGAAACACUGUGCCGGUUCGAGUCCGGCCUCCGGCACCA